UGGUGUGAUUCCGUCCUGUGCGGCUGUUCUCUUGAGCAGUGGUUGUUUAUCUCCGUCCGCCUUCUCUCCCACCUAAGUGUGUGCCGCCACCCAAUGGAAGAUUCGAUGGACAUGGACAUGAGCCCCCUGAGGCCCCAGAACUAUCUUUUUGGUUGUGAACUAAAGGCUGACAAAGAUUAUCACUUUAAGGUGGAUAAUGAUGAAAAUGAGCACCAGUUAUCUUUAAGAACGGUCAGUUUAGGGGCUGGUGCAAAGGAUGAAUUGCACAUUGUUGAAGCAGAGGCAAUGAAUUACAAAGGCAGUCAAAUUAAAGUAACACUGGCAACUUUGCAAAUGUCUGCACAGCCAACCAUUUCCCUUGGGGGCUUUGAAAUAACACCACCAGUGGUCUUAAGGUUGAAGUGUGGUUCAGGUCCACUGCAUAUUAGUGGACAGUACUGCGUAACUGUGGAGGAAGAUGCAGAGUCAGAAGAUGAAGAGGAGGAGGAUGUGAAACUCUUAAGUAUAUCUGGAAAGCAGUCUGCCCCUGGAGGUAGUAGCAAGGUUCCACAGAAAAAAGUAAAACUUGCUGCUGAUGAAGAUGAUGAUGAAGAUGAUGAGGAAGCUGAAGAAAAAAAUGGAAAAGACUCAAAACCAUCAUCAACACCAAGAUCAAAAGGACAAGAACCCUUCAAAAAAACAGAAAAACUCCUAAAACACCAAAAGGACCUAGUUCUGUAAAAGACAUUACAACAAAAAUGCAAGCAAGUAUAGAAAAACGUGAUUCUCUUCCCAAAGUGGAAGCCAAGUUCAUCAAUUAUGUGAAGAAUUGCUUCCAGAUGACUGACCAGGAGGCUAUUCAAGAUCUCUGGCAAUGGAGGAAGUCUCUUUAA
Molecule: RNA transcript, 872 nt
Organism: Mandrillus leucophaeus (drill)
Lineage: Eukaryota; Metazoa; Chordata; Mammalia; Primates; Cercopithecidae
Gene name: nucleophosmin-like
Exons: 2
Source: RefSeq, a predicted model, not a curated record